Molecule: unclassified non-coding RNA, 1402 nt
Filed under: Pectinophora gossypiella (pink bollworm)
Lineage: Eukaryota; Metazoa; Arthropoda; Insecta; Lepidoptera; Gelechiidae
Description: gTPase Obg
Source: RNAcentral
UGACAUUACGUGAAAAAAAAACACAAAAAUAAGUUCAUAACCUCAAAACUAGUCUGUCGAAAAUGUUUGCAAAGAACUGUUUAAGAAUAUUAUUUUUACCGACGAAACCAUUUAUUAUACGCCAUUAUGCACAGGAGUACUCUCCAAAGGCGCUGAGGAGUUUGAAAUCGAAGUCUUCGCGUAGUACUGUGCAGUUUUAUGUUGAUCAUCAAAGAGUUAGGGCUGUAGCAGGGAAUGGGGGUGAUGGCUGCAUAUCCUUCCUCAGUGUCUGGUGUAAAGACCAAGCUGGACCCGACGGAGGCGACGGAGGUAAUGGUGGACAUGUCAUAUUCCAGGCAACUCACACAGUAAAGAGUUUGAAUCACUGCCGGGCGGUGAUACAAGCGAAGCACGGAGAACGAGGCUUCAACAAAGAUUGUAACGGGAAGAAUGCCCAGCACGUUAUUAUUCCAGUACCUUUAGGUACGAUAAUAAAGGAUGAGUCUGGCAAAGUGGUGGGUGAUCUCAGCACCGAGGGGGUGAUGUUCGUGGCGGCGCGAGGAGGGGCAGGCGGUCGCGGGAACAAGUUUUUUCUCACGGACACUGAACAGGCCCCGGAUGUGGCGGAAAUAGGUGCAAAAGGGGAAACCAACGUCUACUCCUUGGAGGUUAGGUCUAUGGCGCACAUCGGACUGAUUGGCUUUCCCAAUGCCGGCAAGAGCACGCUGCUUCGCUCCAUGACCAGGGCACGACCCAAUGUCGCACCAUAUCCGUUUACGACUCUCCGGCCGCAUAUAGGCAUGGUCCCGUAUGAUGAUUACGAACAAGUAGCUAUAGCCGACCUCCCUGGUUUGAUUCCCGGCUCGCACAAAAAUCGUGGACUUGGUAUUCAAUUCUUACAACACGUGGAGCGAUGUCGAGGGUUGAUUUACCUGCUGGAUGGAACUAACAACCCACUCCAGCAAUAUGAAAGCCUAACCUACGAACUUCACCAAUACAGCAACGCUCUAUCCCGAAGACCUAGCUGUAUUGUUGUUAAUAAAAUAGAUCUAAAAGAGGGGAAAACUGGCUUUGAAGACGUCAAAAGAGGCCUUCAAGACAUAAUUACAGCCAGAAAUGAUGAUGAAGAAACAUACGAUGAAGAAAAUUACCGUGAAGAAAGUGUCCAUGAAGAAAAAGUUAAUAAAGAAAGUAAAGAAUGCGACGUAGAAGUAAGGAAUUUUGCCAAUUUAGGUAUUCAAGUCAUAGGUAUUUCGGCUAAAACCGGUAUGAAUUUAUCAGAACUCUCAAAGGUUGUUAGACAAAUGUACGACUGCGGUGAAGAUAGAUGAAGUGAAGAAUAUACGUGUAGUAAUAAAGAGAUGAAGAAAUCUGUUUAGAAAUAAAACUAUAGGGACUUUAGGUUUAGGUUGUUGCCAACUUU